UACGUAGGGGGCGAGCGUUGUCCGGAAUCAUUGGGCGUAAAGCGCGUGUAGGCGGUUUGUCGCGUCUGCCGUGAAAGUCCGGGGCUCAACUCCGGAUCUGCGGUGGGUACGGGCAGACUAGAGUGAUGUAGGGGAGACUGGAAUUCCUGGUGUAGCGGUGAAAUGCGCAGAUAUCAGGAGGAACACCGAUGGCGAAGGCAGGUCUCUGGGCAUUAACUGACGCUGAGGAGCGAAAGCAUGGGGAGCGAACAGG
RNAcentral lists this ribosomal RNA (253 nucleotides) under uncultured bacterium. RNAcentral's name for it is "partial 16S ribosomal RNA". It matches the Rfam family "Bacterial small subunit ribosomal RNA", at positions 524 to 776 of the family's 1533-position model. The record is from RNAcentral.